ACACUUAUCACGCCUUUGCAUUUCAAUCAUUAAACAACAUAUUUUCCUUUUUUACCAGCCUACUAGUAUCCAUGGGGAUCCAUAGGGGGUCCCCGCUACCCGUGAACCAUUAACAUUUCAACCUGAUUCCAGGGCCGUCCCCAUAUCCCGUCUGGUAUGGACGCCUAAAUCAUGAACCUCAAUACCCCGUCCGGUAUGAGGGUGAAACGCUCCGUCCUCAUACUCCGUCUAGUAUGGGCGCCAAAACACAUAAGGUCUCCAUACCCCGUCCGGUAUGAGAGACCACGUUCCCGGUAGGAUUCCCUACGGACCUGGUCCGUCCACCAUCUCCCAGGAUAUCUAGUCAGGCUGUCCACAU
RNAcentral lists this long non-coding RNA (358 nucleotides) under Carica papaya (papaya). RNAcentral describes it as "long non-coding RNA (CPAP_LNC007011)". The record is from RNAcentral. Lineage: Eukaryota; Viridiplantae; Streptophyta; Magnoliopsida; Brassicales; Caricaceae.